RNAcentral lists this long non-coding RNA (2463 nucleotides) under Equus caballus (horse). Its description in RNAcentral is "lncRNA (ENSECAG00000051743.1)". The record is from RNAcentral. Lineage: Eukaryota; Metazoa; Chordata; Mammalia; Perissodactyla; Equidae.
UUUAUUGCAAGUAUUUAUAGUAUAUUUACAUAUGAGUCAUAAAAACGUUAACAAAUACAACUAUUUUAUUUUUGAAAAUACCCUCUCACUUUUGAAAUAUGAUUUGUGCAUAUCAAACAUUAACCUUUGAAGAAAGAUUUCCUUCACUAAUAAUAUAUCAGGAAAUGUCUAUACAAUGGAAGAGCUAGUUAACAAGUGAAUAUAUUCCUUUGGUGAUGGCAAACCAUCAUUUUUACUUUCAUGUCAAUAUUUCAUUUUGUUAAACUCUAGUAGUACAUAGCAUCUCUACCACUAGUACCAGUUGGUACUACUGUUACCUAUCUCUGUAAGUUUAUUUCUUUUCAUAUGUAUUUUAUCUCUCAAGAGAUUAUAAGCAAUUUUGGAGCAGGAAUUAUAUUUCAUAUAUUUUUAUUUUCUACAAUGAGCAUUUUUAUUCUAUUAACACAGCAAAGAUUCAAUAAGUGAGUUUUGAAUUGCUAUUUUUAAGUAUGAGUUAUUAUGUGUGUCUCGGAGAGAAUAUCAUUACUUAAAAAUAUAGACACAUUAUUUUCAAGAAGAGAACUGUCUACUUCUGAGACAGAUCUGAUUUUAAAGGUGAGGUCCCCUGAGUUUAUCUUGAGUGAGCUAUGGUUAAAGGAAUUGAUUGUGACAGAGGUGGCUGAAGCAAAAUUUAAGUUAAACUAAUUACACAACCCCCAUCCAAUAUACCAAAAUACCAGAAGAAUUGUUAAAAUACAAACGUGCAGGAUGCAUAACUAUUGAGACGUCAAUUCGAUUCUAGGUCAACUUAGUGAAGGGGAACUCUCAGGAUGCAGGUUGAAAUAAUGAAGAGAUAUUUAAAGGAAACAGGAUAUCCAAAAUAAGGGUUUUCCAAGAGAAUUUAACCCCCUAGGAAUUCCCAAAAUGUUGGACAGCCACUUAAAUUUUCUGAGCUGUGGGAUAGCAGAUUCAAGCUAAAUUUAUUUAAAAUUCAAAGUAUAGAUGACAACAGCUGAUAUACAAGUUACUGUGGAAGGAACACUCAGUACCCUUUUCAAACUCCUUUUCCAGGUCUUCCUGUAUGAUUGUCUUGAAAGCUAAAAUCUGCAUUUUUUAGGCUUAACAUCAGAUAAGUUGUUGGUGUGUGUCUUCACAUCUGCCAAUCAAAUGUGUCUUCAUGAGACUCAAAGUGGAAAUGAGCAAAGCGAGAUGGAUACAGUGAAGCGAAGUACAGUGAGGUUUCCAUGAAUGGAGUGUCUGUGUAUGGUUGUUCAUAAACUUUUCUCGCUUUCCAUCCCUGGAUAUGUAGCUCCUGAGUGUGCAGAAUCUCAGCCUGGUUCUCUCCUCUCCUGAUGAGUCUGUGAGAAAACUAAUAUGCUUAAUAAAUCCCUAACUGCUAGAAUAGUUAGACUGGUUCUGUUAUCUGCAACUAACAAUCCUAUAGAAAUAAACAUAUGAACAUAUGCCAUAAUAAACCACAGUAUAACUGGCUUGUGAUGUAUUUUGAGAUAGGAAAAGAGUGUGGCAUCAUGAAUGCCAAGAAUCCUUUUGUAAUGGUAAAAUGCCAUAUACAAAAUAUCUUCCCCACUCCCUGAGUUACCCACUACCCCACCCCUCUACACACACUACAUAGAGACAAAGUCAAGGGAAAAAAAUGAGUUUGCCAUUUCUAGGGUUCUCUUUCUAUAAGAAGCAGUCAGGAAUAAGAAAUAGUAGACGAUUACAAAAGACUUGUUAAAUGUUUCGGCAUAGAGGAUUCAACAACAAUUUCCCCAAAACGCUAAUUUUUAAGCUGUGGUUAUAGGAAUGCGGAAAGUGGCCAAAAAUCGCUUUAUACUAGGAAUACGUAAACAUUUGACUCUUCUAGGUUCAAACAGAGAGCUGAAAUGAAACAGAAUCAGACAGGCAAUCUUCUGUAAAGCAGAAGAAUAUGAGCCAGGUGUUCCUUCCACAUAACAACUUGAUUCUGCUUACAAUUUCUCUCUACAUAGCUGAGGCCGAGGCAUCAGAUGGAACAUGAACUGAUUGAUACUAGGAGAAAGGUACAUACAACUGGGGGUACUUAUAAUACUAAGAAGCGUAGUGCAGUUGCACCAGAUUAUUCCAGAGAGGAGUGUUAUAUAAAGGCUGCAUCUAGCGCCAGCUUCGAACGCAGCUGAAGCAUCUGGUUAUUGGUUUGCAUAUGUUUUGCAGUGAGUUCUGAGCAUUGCUCAUCUUCAAUCGCAUUGCUUCUUUUUCUGUGGUCUGUGUUUUCAUCAAAUUACUUGGACACAUGCUGCUUUUCCUGCUCUGGCCUUUCCGCCUCCUGGAAGAAAGAAACAUCUUGAUGUUGAAACGAAUUGCUUUGUAGCAUUGUACACAGGUAUUAGAAAUAUUAUAGGCUUCAGUGAGGCCGUUAACUGUCUAUAGGAAUGCUUAUUGACUGUGAGUCAUUACAUAAAAAAAAGAGAGUAUCAUGUUGUGAUCUUAGAGAAAAGUGGACAG